Molecule: long non-coding RNA, 386 nt
Organism: Sarcophilus harrisii (Tasmanian devil)
Lineage: Eukaryota; Metazoa; Chordata; Mammalia; Dasyuromorphia; Dasyuridae
Exons: 3
Source: RefSeq, a predicted model, not a curated record
UGCUCACUUUGCUUAGCAUCAGUUCAUCUCCAUCUCAUAAGCUAAUCUCAGCUUGGCUGGAUUGCUGCCUCACUGGGAGAAGGCCAAGGACACACACAGGUGCUGCCGGUUGCAAAACAGACAUCAGUGCAUGUAGCUUGCUUUCCAGUAAGUUAAUAGUGAAAGGACUCCUGGCACCAUCUACAACACUAUUAUUCUGGUGCAACAACAUUCCAGUGAGGUAGGUACUCCAGAUAUCAUUAUCUCCAUUGCAAAGAAGAGAAAUUUGAAGUGAAGUAAGUUUUACAUGAUCGUACAGUUAAUAAGUAUCAAGAGCACAUUUGAAUCCAAUAUAACUCCUAAUUUCCAGCAUUUUGUAAUUCUAUGUCAAACCUCAUACAACAUAA